UGAUGAAUCUCUGCCUAUACGUUAUUGAUAUAGGUUGUUUACAAUUUGAAAUUUACAAUUUGGAAUAGUAAUCAAAAUUUACAUCUAAUAAGGUUAUUUUAUACGACUUUCAAGAUGAUCAAUAAUUCAUAUCACAAUUUCUGAUUUUUUGCUCUUUUCUUAGAUAAACGAGGCGAUCUAACCAAGUAGCUAGGUAAAUUCUACAAAUAGUCAUAUGUAUAAUUUAUUAUCAGAGUCAUAUAAUUAUAUUUUCUAACAUAAAAAUUAUAGAACUUUGCCACUCAAAUAAUAAAAGUUACAAUUGUCAGCAGUGGCGGAUCCAAGAUUUGAAAGUAAUGGGUACUCCAUUACUUUUGACAUAGAGUUGCUAUAACCAAAAUGUAUAAGUACACACUAUUUCAAAUAGGAAUUUUUACAUUCCUUUCCCACUUAUGAAAUCUUUUUAUCUUACAUAUUUAAGGUUUCAUUUAAUUACAUUUAACAUACUAAACUACCAUUUCUAUACAAUAUCUAAUUAAGGUUAUAAUUAAUGUGAUAUUUUAUACUCCUUAAUUUAAAUCUUUCCGUUAUUUUACAUUACUAAUCCUCACUUUCUCUCUCCUAACCCCUCAUCCCAAUACCCCUCACGUUCUUUUUACCCUUCCACACUUCUUUCUCCAUUAUCCUUCUUCUGAAACCACCCACUUUCCCUCUAAAUUCAAACAAAAUUCAAUAAACCCUUUAAACAAAUCCCUAUCCACAUUUUUAUUUAGUUGAAGUUUAUCAAUGAAGAUCAAGGAAGGUUAGAAAAAGAGAUUGUGAUGUAUCUGUGGCUGUUUUUGCGGAAUAUGUUAACCUUGAAGAUUUUUCAAUCCCUUCAGAAGGCCUUUUAGAUAUUGACCAACACCGUACAUGCUAUGGAGCUCUACUAUGGGACUAUUGUCACGGGAUGAGUAUAAUUGGCAGCUAACCCGUGCGGCACGUAGACAACUUUGCCAACGAUUGCUAAGUAAGCCUUGAACUUCUCGAACUAGAGAAGAAAGCAAUGAAGCCAAAUGAGAACUUGUAUUGCACUAAAGAGAGAUUUACAAUGCUUGAGUUGCUUNNN
RNAcentral lists this long non-coding RNA (1087 nucleotides) under Nicotiana benthamiana. Its description in RNAcentral is "long non-coding RNA (NBEN_LNC034625)". The record is from RNAcentral. Lineage: Eukaryota; Viridiplantae; Streptophyta; Magnoliopsida; Solanales; Solanaceae.